RNAcentral lists this ribosomal RNA (494 nucleotides) under uncultured bacterium. RNAcentral's name for it is "partial 16S ribosomal RNA". It matches the Rfam family "Bacterial small subunit ribosomal RNA", at positions 28 to 507 of the family's 1533-position model. The record is from RNAcentral.
GACGAACGCUGGCGGCGCGCUUAACACAUGCAAGUCGAACGGAAAGGCCUGCUUUCCCUUGUGGAUUGCGGGUACUCGAGUGGCGAACGGGUGAGUAACACGUGAGUGAUCUGCCCCCAACUUGGGUAUAAGCCUGGGAAACUGGGUCUAAUUCCCGAUAGGACUGCAGGGUGGUGCCUGUGGUGGAAAACGAUUUUCUAGUGGUUGGGGAUGAGCUCGCGGCCUAUCAGCUUGUUGGUGGGGUAAUGGCCUACCAAGGCGGCGACGGGUAGCCGGCCUGGGAGGGUGGACGGCCACAUUGAGACUGGGAUACGGCCCAGACUCCUACGGGAGGCAGCAGUGGGGAAUAUUGCACAAUGGGCGGAAGCCUGAUGCAGCGACGCCGCGUGGGGGAUGACGGCCUUCGGGUUGUAAACUCCUUUCGACCGCGAGGAAGCCACCUGGUUGGAAGGGUGGUGACGGUAGUGGUAGAAGAAGCACCGGCUAACUACGUG